This 218-nucleotide ribosomal RNA is filed under the name Calotes versicolor. RNAcentral describes it as "partial 16S ribosomal RNA". The record is from RNAcentral. Lineage: Eukaryota; Metazoa; Chordata; Lepidosauria; Squamata; Agamidae.
GCGGUACCUGUUAGUAGGAGGGCCUCCCCCCAGACGCCGUUGUCUAACGCCCGCUCCUCCCCGUGCGUGCAUAGUACCAUACUCACUUGUCCCUUGUGGACUAACCUGAAUGAAUGCAUCCACAAUAUACUGUCUCCUUCUUCUAUUCAAUGAAACUAAUCUCCCCGCCCAAAAACAGGCAUGAAAAAAUAAGACAAAAAAACCCUAUCUAGAGAGAU